UAUAUAUAUAUAUUAAAAAUAGUUAUAAAAUUUAAAUUUUUAGUAUUAAUUAUAGAAAAAAUAAUAUAAAUUAUAGUUUAUUAGUAUUGAAAAAGAAAAUUGAAAUAUUAUGAAAAAUUAUAAUUAAAAAAGAAAAAUUUAUUUUUUGUACCUUGUGUAUCAGGGUUUAUUAAAUAAUAUUUAAAAAUUUAAAUUUCUCGAUUUUAAAAGAUUUAAUAUAUUAAUAAAUAUAAAGUAAUAAAUUUAUUUUUAAUAAUAUAUUUGAAAUGAAAUGUUUUUCGUUUUUAAAGGUAUCUAGUUUUUUAAGAAAUAAAUUUAAUUUAUAAAUUUUAUAUUAUUUAUUUAAUUUAAAAAAUAAAUAAUUAUUUAAUUUAAAUAUUUUAUGGGAUAAGCUAUAAAAUAAAAAUUUAAAAAUAAUAAUAAUAAUUUAAUAAAAUAUAGGGUUAAAAUUAUUCAAUAUUAAAGAAAAUUUAAUAAUUUAUUAUUAAUAAAAUAAUAAUUUUAUAAUUAUUAAUUAUUUAUUAAUAUAUAAUUUUUAAUUAUAAUAAAUUAGAAAUAAUGAUAAAAUUAGUAUAAUAAUUUAUAUAAAUAAUUUGAAUUUAAAAUUUUUUUUAAAGAAUUCGGCAAAUAUUUAUAUUCACCUGUUUAACAAAAACAUCUCUUUAUGAUUAAAUAUAAAGUUUAACCUGCCCACUGAAAAUUUAAAUGGCUGCAGUAUAUUGACUGUACAAAGGUAGCAUAAUCAUUAGUUUUUUAAUUGAGAACUGGAAUGAAUGGUUGGAUGAAAUAUAAACUGUUUCAAAAAAAAUAUAUUAGAAUUUUAUUUUUUAGUAAAAAAGCUAAAAUUUAUUUAAAAGACGAGAAGACCCUAUAAAUCUUAUAUAUAAUAUUAUAAAUAUAAAAUUAAUUAGAAGAUUUUAAUAUAUUUAUUUUUUAUAUUUUGUUGGGGAGAUAGUAAAAUUUAAUAAACUUUUAUUAUUUAUAAAUACAUUGAUUUAUGAAUUAUUGAUUAAUUAUUAAUGAAUAAAAAAAUAAGUUACUUUAGGGAUAACAGCGUAAUUAUUUUGGAGAGUUCAUAUUGAUAAAAUAGAUUGCGACCUCGAUGUUGGAUUAAGAAAAAUUUUAGGUGUAGAAGCUUAAUAAUUAAGUCUGUUCGACUUUUAAAUUCUUACAUGAUCUGAGUUCAAACCGGUGUAAGCCAGGUUGGUUUCUAUCUUUAAUUAUUUAUAAUAUUAUAGUACGAAAGGAUUUAAUAUUAAAUAAAUUAUUAUUUAAUAUAUUG
Molecule: ribosomal RNA, 1282 nt
Filed under: Phthiridium sp. A GC-2023a
Lineage: Eukaryota; Metazoa; Arthropoda; Insecta; Diptera; Nycteribiidae
Description: 16S ribosomal RNA
Rfam family: Archaeal large subunit ribosomal RNA (bases 1047-1205)
Source: RNAcentral